GCUCAGUGGGUCGACAGCGACCGGCAGCAACGUCGGCUUGGGCGGCGGCGACGUCGGCUUGGGCGGUGGCGACUGGCGGCGGCGACUAGAGGGGUGCGGCUCUUGGUUGGAGAGGGAUGGGCAGAGAGGGAGAGAGAGACAGAGAGAUAAGAGAGAAAGAGAGCGAAGAGUGAGGGAGAGGUGUCGGGGCUUCGGGUAUACCUAGGUAAGACGGUGAAUUGUUCACCGUCUUCAUAAAAAACAGUGGAGACGGUUAAUGAUUCACCGCCUUACCUUGACCCACCUCCCCCCAAUAAAGACGGUGAAUAGUUCAUCGUCUUUACUGCUACAAAUAAGACGGUAAACAGUUCACCGUCUUAUCUGUGUUUUAUGUCUCCAGGACUUGGCCAAAGUUGGGGGGUGUUGUCCUGGUCGAAGUUGAGGGAUGUGGGGGGAUAAUGUACCGUCUUAAGUAAGACGGUGAACUGUUUACCGUCUUAUCAAGGGCACAGCAGUUCCAAAGGGGGGUGGGUGUGGGUGUAUUCGCUCUAAAGACGGUGAAUAGUUCACCGUCUCAUGAAGGCGGUGAACCAUCUACCGUCUUCAUGAGAAAUGCGCAUAGACGGUGAACGAUUCACCGUCUUUACGAGAAAAAUCCGACCUGGCGCCGACGUGGCGAAAGGAGGGUUAGUUUUACAAAUAAAAUUUUCAGAGGGUUAUUUGGCCAAAUAUAAAAUUCUAUAG
RNAcentral lists this long non-coding RNA (723 nucleotides) under Ananas comosus (pineapple). RNAcentral describes it as "long non-coding RNA (ACOM_LNC024514)". The record is from RNAcentral. Lineage: Eukaryota; Viridiplantae; Streptophyta; Magnoliopsida; Poales; Bromeliaceae.